AGUGAACGCUGGCGGUAUGCCUAACACAUGCAAGUCGAACGGCAGCACAGUAAGAGCUUGCUCUUACGGGUGGCGAGUGGCGGACGGGUGAGGAAUACAUCGGAAUCUACUUUUUCGUGGGGGAUAAUGUAGGGAAACUUACGCUAAUACCGCAUACGACCUACGGUUGAAAGCAGGGGAUCUUCGGACCUUGCGCGAUUGAAUGAGCCGAUGUCGGAUUAGCUAGUUGGCGGGGUAAAGGCCCACCAAGGCGACGAUCCGUAGCUGGUCUGAGAGGAUGAUCAGCCACACUGGAACUGAGACACGGUCCAGACUCCUACGGGAGGCGGCAGUGGGGAAUAUUGGACAAUGGGCGCAAGCCUGAUCCAGCCAUACCGCGUGGGUGAAGAAGGCCUUCGGGUUGUAAAGCCCUUUUGUUGGGAAAGAAAAGCAGCAGGUUAAUACCCCGCUGUUCUGACGGUACCCAAAGAAUAAGCACCGGCUAACUUCGUG
Molecule: ribosomal RNA, 492 nt
Filed under: uncultured bacterium
Lineage: Bacteria
Description: partial 16S ribosomal RNA
Rfam family: Bacterial small subunit ribosomal RNA
Source: RNAcentral